AUUAUGUAUUUUCAGUACUGGAAGUGAAUAUCGGAAGCUAUAAUCUAACCUUAUCUGACGAAGUGGACUUGCAAAUCGGAACAGAACGUGGAAAGAGGAGUUGCGCGUUCUUUAGAACCAUCAAGAGAAAGAAAGCUAUUUAAGAAAUGGGUGAACGUUACAACAUUCACAGUCAAUUGGAACAUCUGCAGUCGAAAUAUAUUGGCACAGGGCACGCAGAUACGACCAAGUUUGAAUGGCUUGUGAAUCAGCAUCGUGAUUCCUGCAGUUCGUAUAUGGGCCAUUACGAUUUACUGAACUUCUUUGCGAUCGCUGAGAACGAGGCCAAGGCACGUGUCAGGUUCAAUCUUAUGGAGAAGAUGUUACAACCUUGCGGACCGCCGCCUGAGAAACCAGAAGAUUAAAUCAAAAAUUAAAAAACUACGAUGCCUGCCUCAUGCUCCACAAAUUGUGGAAAAAACGCUAUUCUAAAGAGACCAAAAACUGGUGAUACAUUGUGCAAAGACUGUUUCUUCUUAGCAUUUGAAACAGAGAUUCAUGACACUAUUAUCAAUG
Harpegnathos saltator (Jerdon's jumping ant) is the source of this 555-nucleotide RNA transcript. It is a transcript of the gene named splicing factor 3B subunit 5, with no coding region annotated. The record is from RefSeq and is a predicted model, not a curated record. The transcript has 3 exons. Lineage: Eukaryota; Metazoa; Arthropoda; Insecta; Hymenoptera; Formicidae.